Molecule: non-coding RNA, 1608 nt
Organism: Caretta caretta (loggerhead turtle)
Lineage: Eukaryota; Metazoa; Chordata; Testudines; Cheloniidae
Source: RefSeq, a predicted model, not a curated record
UCUCAGCUCGUGCCUGAUAGGGGGGUUUCUUUCAGAGGGGCUGCACGGGAACCACAUGGCCCCGCGUAUACAAUGCAAUGCGGGCCGGGGGCUUGGCAUGGCUGGAAACAGAAACAGAUCUUCUAGGAAUCAGUGCCAGGAGAUCAACAUGCAAAGCGGGACCUGGGAGAAGGUAGGGUGGCCUUCCGGACUCCAGGAAUGUGCCAUGCAAACCAAGAUCCUCAUCAGAGAGCGGCUCUUCUAGAACGAAGCACCCUGAAAGACACGGAAGCAAAAUCCCUGGGUGAAAUCCACACCCCGCUUAAACAGCUGUUGGCAAACAACAGUCAGGCUAGCCAUCCCAUCAGCCGCAAACCUGCAGCUCGAGUGCUAGCAACAGACAGCCCUGGUGACCAAGGCAGCAGCUGCAGCCAGCAGCUUCCCAUCCACGGGGAGUGGAGGGCACUGGGGCAUUGCCUACAGGUGAACAAAAUCCUCAUGUUGCUAUUUUUCUUUGUGAACCAUAUCCUUUUCUUUUUGCAUAUUUAGCUUGUCCUUUACCUUCAUUAACACUGGCAGUGUAUGUGGCCAAGGGUCAUUGGGGCACAGGUGUGUGUUCCACUCUCCUGAACUGAUGGACUUUGUCUCCAUCUGGUUGUAUUUUCAUAACCUUUAGAGUCCAGGGGCAUCGAUGUAGGUGUUUCCCAAUCCUUCAUUUCAUUGGCAACCUGGAAAAUGCCAGCGUUUGACUAAACAACAUCUCAGCACAAUGCCUCAGCAGAUACGCUUUGCUAAACACCCGGGUCUGAACCCUGAGCUCAGCUAUGCUGGUGAUAAUCCAGAGUGACUCUGCGGAGCCAUUGGAGUCACUCUGGAUUUACAGCCAUGUAACUGAGAUCAGAAUCCAGCCCCAGAGUAUGAUCUGUCAAUCACCAGACUAAUCAGCCCUCCUGUCCAAAGGAAACCACAGGUUCCCCUCUCCCUGAUACGAGAUGGCAGGACGCACAAACCAUUAAAAUCCUCAGGAGCUUUAAGUCAUCUCACCACUCCCCUGGUCCCCAGGGGAGCCAGUCUGGCCCCUCAGGUAACAGAGCAGACUGAAGGUUGCUCUAAGUUACACCGGCAUGCGAUGAUAAUCUAAGGGCCGUGACGCUGGCCAGAGGUCACCAGAAUGUGGCAUGUUCAGGCCACACCUCCUGGGCAGGGGAGACCAAAAAGGGGCAUCAGAGGGCAGGCAAAGCUAUAUCUAUGCCACGACCUGAGGGUUUUCCCAUGCCAGGGAGCCCUCUAGAAUGGCCCGGGAUCUGUCCCGCAAUUGUUUUCUAGUCACACAGAGGCAGGGCCGAAGGGUACUUUGAGUUUAGCUUGUUCGUGUUUCCUCCCACCUCCGAGGGUCAUUCUUGAUUUAUGAACUCCAGUCUUUAAAGCUAGAUUCCAAGUAAAGAGAAGUUUCCCUCAUCCCCUCUCCGUCCCCCCCCCACCCCGCUGUUAAUCAUAGGUCAGCUGUGUUUAAUGAUUCACGUGCCUACAGUGCAUUACCAAAUAGCCAGGGAGCCCUCACAGGGUCCCUCUAAGAGGCAAAGAGAUGCAGACAGAGGUACAUCACAAAAGAAGUGGGAGCAGGAAGAG